RNAcentral lists this long non-coding RNA (306 nucleotides) under Mustela putorius furo (domestic ferret). Its description in RNAcentral is "lncRNA (ENSMPUG00000030260.1)". Lineage: Eukaryota; Metazoa; Chordata; Mammalia; Carnivora; Mustelidae. The record is from RNAcentral.
AUGGAAAGCCAUGUCAGCCCUGGGGGAGCUCACGGGCUUGGGACUCUGACGUGUGAGCGGCCGCCCCAGAGGAGGACCCCUCAGAGAGCCAGUUGCAGGAGUGGUGGUCUCGGCAUUCUGCGGCCGGGGCGCAGACGGAAGGAGCCCAGCGGGUCGGCCCCACGCAUCCCCCGGGAUCCUGCCGUGAACCAGGAGGUUGAUCAGGUCUUCCCCCACGCAGCUGACUGCUGCUCCCGAGCCUUCGGCUUCUGCCGGAAGUGAGAGCUGCCUUCGGCUCACACGGCAUCUGCAGACUGUGCCCUGAAG